GCCUUUCUAUCUCCUUUCAGUGCCCCAAUUAGAUGACACUAGCAGAAAAUCAGCUGAUGAAAGAAAACAUGGUUUCCGGGGCUCAGACUUAGCAUCUCCAAGAAGAGUAUGUAAGACUGAAUGUAAGACAGUCAUGUACAUAACCCUGGAACUUCCAGACAGGACCAACUACUUGUUUCUAUAUGGCAAAUUGUGAAUAUAUUCAUAUAAAUUAAUUCACUCUCACAUUUUCCCACCCACCAAAAAAAUGGUAAAAAAUCUGAACUGUCAAUAUCCAUCUCUACUGACAUUAGUUUACACCACUCUAGUGAUGUCAACUACUUCUCUAUUAACAGUCCCAACCCCACUGAAAUACUCUUAAAUCUAAAAACUAGAUUUUGAACUAAAAUGCCAACCACCAAGACCUAAAUGAAAUAAUAAAGGCAAUGAAGGGAAGAGAAAACUAAUAAUAAACAUACACACAUAAACAUCCACAUUCAUAUUUCUCAUACCUAAAUAUGUAAAAUAUGCCUACUUGUUGGGGUUCUCAUAUUGUAGUUGAUCACAAAGCUGAAGCUGACUUUUGUAACUUCUUUCCUUUGCUAUAAAUCCCAUAUACCCUUUGUCACUGGCAGUGUAUGGGUAACCUAAAUCUUUGUCCCUAAAAGACCUGAAUCCUCAGCAGUCCUAGAUCUUUGAGGUAGGGAGUGCUAAAAUUUUCCAUUAAAUUUUGCCAUUACAUUUCUGGGUUCUCUUACAUAUUCCGCAGUUUGUGCAAGUAGAACUAAUCCAAUUUCUCUCCAUUAUCAGAAACAGGCCAGCAGAUACAAUUACCUGUUUGUUCUUUGAAUGACAAGAGAAGCACAGAAUGGUCAGGUGGCAGGAAUGGAAGCUCUAUUUUUGGUUGAUAGUAUGUAUUAUUUCUUACCAAGGCAGAUCUGGCUACCACCACCAGAAUGCUUGAUCUGUUUAACAACAGAGAUCCAUACAAAGCCCCCAAAUGGUACCUUUCCCAAUUGGGACCAGCCAGUCAAAUCACUGGAAGUCUUCCAACAGAGAAGAAAAAGUAAUUUGCCCUCACUGCAACUGCCAUAUUGUAUUCUGGAUACACAUUUGCACUUCAUGCCCCCAAUACUUCUGCUAACAUGAAUAGUUAUGGUCUAUACAAUGAGAAGAUGGCUGUCUACAAAUGAAGAAGAGUGACCUUCCCAGACACCAGCUUUGUCAGUACCUUGGUCUUGGGCUUCCCAUCUUCUAGAACUGUGAGAAAUAAACUUCUGUUGUCUAAGCUAUCCA
This 1275-nucleotide long non-coding RNA is filed under the name Marmota monax (woodchuck). The record is from RNAcentral. Lineage: Eukaryota; Metazoa; Chordata; Mammalia; Rodentia; Sciuridae.